This 1200-nucleotide ribosomal RNA is filed under the name Salmonella enterica. RNAcentral's name for it is "partial 23S ribosomal RNA". It matches the Rfam family "Bacterial large subunit ribosomal RNA", at positions 1 to 1230 of the family's 2925-position model. Lineage: Bacteria; Pseudomonadati; Pseudomonadota; Gammaproteobacteria; Enterobacterales; Enterobacteriaceae. The record is from RNAcentral.
GGGUUGUGAGGUUAAGCGACUAAGCGUACACGGUGGAUGCCCUGGCAGUCAGAGGCGAUGAAGGGCGUGCUAAUCUGCGAUAAGCGCCGGUAAGGUGAUAUGAACCGUUAUAACCGGCGAUACCCGAAUGGGGAAACCCAGUGUGAUUCGUCACACUAUCAUUAACUGAAUCCAUAGGUUAAUGAGGCGAACCGGGGGAACUGAAACAUCUAAGUACCCCGAGGAAAAGAAAUCAACCGAGAUUCCCCCAGUAGCGGCGAGCGAACGGGGAGGAGCCCAGAGCCUGAAUCAGCAUGUGUGUUAGUGGAAGCGUCUGGAAAGGCGCGCGAUACAGGGUGACAGCCCCGUACACAAAAGCGCAUGUGCUGUGAGCUCGAUGAGUAGGGCGGGACACGUGGUAUCCUGUCUGAAUAUGGGGGGACCAUCCUCCAAGGCUAAAUACUCCUGACUGACCGAUAGUGAACCAGUACCGUGAGGGAAAGGCGAAAAGAACCCCGGCGAGGGGAGUGAAAAAGAACCUGAAACCGUGUACGUACAAGCAGUGGGAGCACAGGUUUACCUGUGUGACUGCGUACCUUUUGUAUAAUGGGUCAGCGACUUAUAUUCUGUAGCAAGGUUAACCGAAUAGGGGAGCCGGAGGGAAACCGAGUCUUAACCGGGCGUUAAGUUGCAGGGUAUAGACCCGAAACCCGGUGAUCUAGCCAUGGGCAGGUUGAAGGUUGGGUAACACUAACUGGAGGACCGAACCGACUAAUGUUGAAAAAUUAGCGGAUGACCUGUGGCUGGGGGUGAAAGGCCAAUCAAACCGGGAGAUAGCUGGUUCUCCCCGAAAGCUAUUUAGGUAGCGCCUCGUGAAUUCAUCUCCGGGGGUAGAGCACUGUUUCGGCUAGGGGGCCAUCCCGGCUUACCAACCCGAUGCAAACUGCGAAUACCGGAGAAUGUUAUCACGGGAGACACACGGCGGGUGCUAACGUCCGUCGUGAAGAGGGAAACAACCCAGACCGCCAGCUAAGGUCCCAAAGUCAUGGUUAAGUGGGAAACGAUGUGGGAAGGCCCAGACAGCCAGGAUGUUGGCUUAGAAGCAGCCAUCAUUUAAAGAAAGCGUAAUAGCUCACUGGUCGAGUCGGCCUGCGCGGAAGAUGUAACGGGGCUAAACCAUGCACCGAAGCUGCGGCAGCGACGCUUAUGCGUUGUUGGGUA